This 496-nucleotide ribosomal RNA is filed under the name uncultured bacterium. Its description in RNAcentral is "partial 16S ribosomal RNA". It matches the Rfam family "Bacterial small subunit ribosomal RNA", at positions 29 to 507 of the family's 1533-position model. The record is from RNAcentral.
AUGAACGCUGGCGGCGUGCCUAAUACAUGCAAGUCGAGCGAACAGACGAGGAGCUUGCUCCUCUGACGUUGGCGGCGGACGGGUGAGUAACACGUGGAUAACCUACCUAUAAGACUGGGAUAACUUCGGGAAACCGGAGCUAAUACCGGAUAAUAUAUUGAACCGCAUGGUUCAAUAGUGAAAGACGGUUUUGCUGUCACUUAUAGAUGGAUCCGCGCCGCAUUAGCUAGUUGGUAAGGUAACGGCUUACCAAGGCAACGAUGCGUAGCCGACCUGAGAGGGUGAUAGGCCACACUGGAACUGAGACACGGUCCAGACUCCUACGGGAGGCAGCAGUAGGGAAUCUUCCGCAAUGGGCGAAAGCCUGACGGAGCAACGCCGCGUGAGUGAUGAAGGUCUUCGGAUCGUAAAACUCUGUUAUUAGGGAAGAACAAAUGUGUAAGUAACUAUGCACGUCUUGACGGUACCUAAUCAGAAAGCCACGGCUAACUACGUG